CAAGGUGUAGCUUAACACAAAGCACCCAGCUUACACCUGGGAGAUUUCAACUAACUUGACCACCCUGA
This 68-nucleotide transfer RNA is filed under the name Hylobates klossii (Kloss's gibbon). RNAcentral describes it as "tRNA-Val". The record is from RNAcentral. Lineage: Eukaryota; Metazoa; Chordata; Mammalia; Primates; Hylobatidae.